GUUUGAAGUCUUUUUUGAGAAUUCGGGGUAUAAAUGUAGGUCUUGGUGGAUUUUUCUCUUUGGAAGAAAUAGAAUGUGGGAGAGCAAAGGUUUGCUUGCUUGUAAAAGCUCAGUGUAGACUAUAGCAUUGCAAUCAUACAAGUGGGGGUGCUGGCUUUUUGUAAGUGCCACCUUUUGUUCUAAAAUAUAUAAUUCUUUUCAUUUAUUCAGCAUCAUAAUUUCUGUCAUAUGGAGUUUGUUAGGUUUUUUUAAUGGCACUUUUCUUCCUGAUUGAAUCAUUAACCUUGACAUCUUUUGUAUAUACACUUUGUCUACUGAGUUACAGCAGCACGGCUCAAAAUGCAGGCUGUCAUUUGUGACAUCAACAUGUAUCUUAGCAAAGUGCAUCCUUCCAUUCCAUUACAAUGAAAUAUAAAAUACCAGGUUGUAAGAGCUGAUGCAAUGCCAUCUCCAGGAUGAUUCUAUCCCUGAUAGGAACACAGUGGAAUAUUCAGAAACCCUGAAACCCAUUUCACAAAGGGCACUAAUCUCCUUCAUUCAUGUCAAGUUGCCGGACAUCACAGACUGCUAUGCAGGUGACAAGCCUCUGCAAGAGGAGAUAUCUGAAAGGUUAGUGCUGACGCAGUGCAGUCGUGGUGGGGAGGGGCUCAGCAUUGUCACCCAGGGGCUGCGGGGAAGUUCUCUUCCUCCUUUCAAGGUGUAAAUAAUAACACUAAAUCCUGUAGCUGAUUAAGAGUCCAAAGGACUUUGCUGAAAGAAAACAGUGCGAAAGCCUGGAAUCCUGUCAAAUUGCAGUCCCACAGAGGUUAACUCUUUUGCAGGUGCAUUGCAAUGUGGUCUUUGUAGAGAAGGCAAAACUGCAUGCAGCCAGAGCCUGAGCACCUGCUGAAUUUGGGAUUCAGAACCACCACUGGGGCUCAUCAUUUUGCAAUCAUCCCUCUUUAAAUGCUGGAUUGCACCGAAACAAAGACUCUGAAUUUUACAGGUACUGAAGUUUGGAUCUAAUAUCUAAUAUUGAGGUGGUGUUCUGUGGUCCUCAGCAGUGACAUGGUUAAGAAGGCAGUAAUGAAGGGGAUGACGGGAAGGCAAAUGCCAGUACAAUGGAUGAGGCAUUCUGGCUCAUUGCACAGAGGGAAGCUUAGCACCUGCGGCAUGAAGUUCGACCGGAUGCCCAUCGAUCUGGGUGUGGUGAAAAGCAUGAAUGUGGAGGUCAAGUGCUUGGGGACGUGCGUGGAUCCUGUAUACCUGCAUUUCUAGCAUUGCAUUCUUCAGAAGAGCUUUUCUUUUUUGGUGAGAAAUGUACCCUGGCUGGGUUAUUCAUCUGCCAGGCAGGUGUGCUCUCUCCCCAUGAAAGGAACCCAAGGGAUUCCCUUACCAGAAAGAUAGGGACCUGGCAGCAUGUUCAGGUAGGUUUCAUAGAAUCACAGAAUACAUUGAGUUGGAAGUGACCCUUAAAGGCCAUCUGGUCCCACUCCCUGCACUGAACAGGGACACUCAAUGCUCUGUCAGUGCUCAGAGCCCCAUCCCCUGACCUUGGAUGUCUGCAGGGAUGGGGCACACACCACCUGCCUGGGCAACCCAUGCCAGUUAUUCACUACCCUUAUUGUAAAGAACUUUUUUUUUCUUAUAUCCAGUCUAAAUUUCCUCACUUUCAGUGUGAAACCAUUUCCCUGCAUCCUAUCACAACAAACAGAACCCACAACACAUCAGUGAGCUCUCCACACCUGGUGUGGAGCAGGAGAUAGGGGGUGAUGGGUAAUAGUAAAUACCAUUGGAAAAGUACUGAAAACAGCAUUCAUCAAAGUGUGAGUCACGAGAAAGAGUAUUUCCUUGUGUGCUUUUUGGGAGCAAUAUCAUUAUUAGUGAACCAAAGUCUCAUUACAUUUGUCCUUUCUAAACUCUCCUCCACCACCUUAAAGGAAUUCAUCACUAUAAAGUGCCUGGGAAGGUGCACUUUUUAGUUUGCUAUAUAGGCAAGGAUUUUUUAAGGGGGGGAGAGAGGGGGAACCUUCUCCUUGUUAGGCAUGGCAGGGUGAUACAGCCAGCACCAAUUCUUCAACUCUUUCUUCUCCAAAGUCAUGGAGCACCCGGUGCUCAGCAGAGCAGGAUAUGCCCUAGAGGGGCUCCUGCAGGCAGGUGCUGAUGGGAACAAAGGGUUUAGCCAAUUUUUAUCAGUUCUGAAGCCUGCAAUAUAGAGAUAUGUGGUUCAUACAGGAGGGAGCAGUGUGGUUGAUUUAUCGCCAUAAUGCAAACACGUGUAAGUCUCCAUCAGCACGGUCCAGUGAAGCUGUAAAGCAGGAACACUGAGAGCGCCUUUGAUUAAAUAAAAUAGGAUUAAAAUGUCA
This is a long non-coding RNA of Coturnix japonica (Japanese quail), 2345 nucleotides long. Lineage: Eukaryota; Metazoa; Chordata; Aves; Galliformes; Phasianidae. The record is from Ensembl.